UAGCGUAUAUUAAAGUUGUUGCGGUAAAAAAGCUCGUAGUUGGAUUUCUGUUGAGAUUGACCGGUCCGGACCACGUCUGUGCAUCUGGCUUAGUCUCGGCAUCCUCUCGAAAACCGCUGCUGUGCUUGAUUGCAUGGCUCGAUUCUCGGGACUUUUACUUUGAGGAAAUUAGAGUGUUCACGGCAGGCUUUCGCCAGAAUACAUUAGCAUGGAAUAAUACUAUAGGAUCUCGGCCCUAUUUUGUUGGUUUCUAGAGUUGAGGUAAUGAUUAAUAGGGACAAUAGGGGGCAUUCGUAUCAACACGUC
This 306-nucleotide ribosomal RNA is filed under the name Amoebophrya sp. Its description in RNAcentral is "SSU rRNA". It matches the Rfam family "Eukaryotic small subunit ribosomal RNA", at positions 595 to 906 of the family's 1831-position model. The record is from RNAcentral. Lineage: Eukaryota; Dinophyceae; Syndiniales; Amoebophryaceae.